UGAGGAAUAUUGGACAAUGGGCGAAAGCCUGAUCCAGCCAUGCCGCGUGCAGGAAGACGGCCCUAUGGGUUGUAAACUGCUUUUAUACGGGAAGAAACACCCCCUCCGUCGUAGGGGCAGGGUUGACUGGAUCGACCCGUAGGGAAAUAAAGGAUCGGCUAACUCCGUGCCAGCAGCCGCGGUAAUACGGAGGGUGCGAGCGUUGUCCGGAUUUAUUGGGUUUAAAGGGUGCGUAGGCGGGAUGCUAAGUCAGUGGUGAAAGACGGUGGCUCAACCAUCGCAGUGCCGUUGAUACUGGUGUUCUUGAAUGCGGAUGAGGUAGGCGGAAUGUGGCAAGUAGCGGUGAAAUGCAUAGAUAUGCCACAGAACACCGAUUGCGAAGGCAGCUUACCAAAUCGUUAUUGACGCUGAUGCACGAAAGCGUGGGGAUCAAACAGGAUUAGAUACC
Molecule: ribosomal RNA, 448 nt
Filed under: uncultured bacterium
Lineage: Bacteria
Description: bacterial SSU rRNA
Rfam family: Bacterial small subunit ribosomal RNA
Source: RNAcentral